GUGACUUCUCAUUUCUGUUAGAGGGUCCAAUUCUUAGUACUUUUAAGGACUUUAGAGAGCAAUUUGUGAGGGAAGUGGGGAGAAGAUAACUAACACAAUUUCGCCCAUGCCUUUGUUUUGAAAAUUGUUUUCAGUUAUAUAUAUAAAGUUAUCUGAAGAUUGCUCUUCCUCCAUCAGCUGCCAGCAGCUUCAAGAAGCCACAGCACAGAAAGGCAAAGGAGAAGUACAGUGGGAUCCCAGCCACAAAGAUCUACCUUCCCACAGAAGCCAGAGAGAUACAGCAAUCUUUAAACACGAUUUGCACAAGAUUCUACAGCUUAAGACAACAUCAGGAAUAAGAAAUGGGACCUCCUGAUUCGCAGUCUCAUGGUCCAGUUCAUAGGUCAUAGGGUGAGGAUUAGCUGCCCAGGGGGACUAAACACUGGACUGUUCCCCUAUGAAAAAUCCAGCAGAGAUGCCAGGUGCUAUGGACUGAAGCACAGCAUGGCCUAGCAAAGAACUGUGCUGGUUAUAGUGCAGCAAGGCAAGCUGCCUCUCCCCGGUGACAGGAUGAUCCCAGAGAGCCCAGCUCUACCACGGGCACGCAGCCCAUCCUCAUUUCUCUCUCCCUCCUGACACCCUCCAGCAGACUCUGGGGGCUUUUGUUUCCCUGUGCCUCCGGUGAUGCUCAGUCUCCUCCCUGCCUCCUGCAGCUCCAAGCCUGCACUGCAGCCAGACUGCAUGCUUCAUUCCACAGGAGCAGCUGUGACACAAAUCAAACAAGGAGACACAGAAGAUUUCACAAGAAAGACCAAAAAACAGAAAAGAGGAAUCAUUUCCAGAAGUGGUUAGUUUUAAUGCCAAAAUGAAGUGUGGAGCCUGUUUUGGCAGCAGAACCUUGGAAAGUGAGACAUUCUCAGAAGUUGCCCUGCAAAUUUAGCCUCUAUGCCAAGCUUUACCUUGUUUCUUCCAGGUGUGUUGAAGAAAUUUGUUCCUCUGUCUCUUUGCCUGACAGCUGCAUCACUAACUGGAAAUAAGAUAUGGGAUCUCAAUUGCCAUUGGCACCUCACUUAUUGAACACUUACUUUAUUUCCUGCAACUAGUACAUUACACUUGGCAUUCAAAAUGUGGAGAAAACAGGUCCAAUUAAAGAAAACAACACUCAAACUGAUUCCAUUAAAACCCUCAAAAUAUAAAAGAAUAUUUUAGCCACAUAGCAAGAAGGAAUAAAUCAUCACCCUCUUAACAGAACCAUAAUUUUGUCUGCCUCCACUCACACCAUCUGUACUAAUGAAAUAUUUUAGACAAAACCA
Passer domesticus (house sparrow) is the source of this 1292-nucleotide long non-coding RNA. RefSeq lists it as uncharacterized. Lineage: Eukaryota; Metazoa; Chordata; Aves; Passeriformes; Passeridae. The record is from RefSeq and is a predicted model, not a curated record. The transcript has 5 exons.